This 449-nucleotide ribosomal RNA is filed under the name uncultured Bacillota bacterium. RNAcentral describes it as "bacterial SSU rRNA". It matches the Rfam family "Bacterial small subunit ribosomal RNA", at positions 66 to 524 of the family's 1533-position model. The record is from RNAcentral. Lineage: Bacteria; Bacillati; Bacillota.
GCUUGCAUCUUGAGUUUGCGUUAGAUUAGUGGCGAACGGGUGAGUAACGCGUGGGUAAUCUACCCUCAAGUUGGGAAUAACUUGCCGAAAGGUAGGCUAAUACCGAAUGUGGCUAUUGUCUCGGAUAGAGAGAAUAGCUAAAGGAAGCGUAAGCUUUCGCUUGAAGAUGAGCCCGCGUCUGAUUAGCUUGUUGGUGGGGUAAUGGCCUACCAAGGCGAACAUCAGUAGCCGGCCUGAGAGGGUGGUCGGCCACAUUGGAACUGGGACACGGUCCAGACUCCUACGGGAGGCAGCAGUGAGGAAUAUUGCGCAAUGGGCGAAAGCCUGACGCAGCGACGCCGCGUGGGUGAUGAAGGUCUUCGGAUCGUAAAGCCCUUUUAGAGAGAAUAGAUAAUGACGGUACUCUCAGAAUAAGCCUUGGCUAACUACGUGCCAGCAGCCGCGGUAAU